Molecule: small nucleolar RNA, 93 nt
Organism: Eucalyptus grandis
Lineage: Eukaryota; Viridiplantae; Streptophyta; Magnoliopsida; Myrtales; Myrtaceae
Product: small nucleolar RNA snoR117
Exons: 1
Source: RefSeq, a predicted model, not a curated record
GGUAGCGGUGAUGCUGGAAAUUGUCCGUACCAUUCGAGACGAACGUCUUCUCUCCUGAUCAACGCUUCAUCAUCUCUAGCUUUUCUGAGGCCU